GCACGUGUUGGUUUAAUCUAUUCAUAUCUUUAUUUAUGUUUACAUCGCUUAUAUGGUCAUCUGAGGUCAAAUUGAUAGUUAAUUAGAUGGCGUCUUGACUAAAAUACACACAAAACGAACCUAAAUAUUAUCUACACCAUGCUCUGUAAAUUGUUUACUUUAGACUUUUGAUAGAUUGGAUAAAUGUUUUACAUUGUUAUAAAUCAAAUAUGAGAAUUUGAGUCAAAUCGGUGACCAUGAAUUUGACAGCUAGUGCCCUUUUAAGUAUUGCUUGGUAAAUCCAACAUGUAAUCGAUUAGUAAAUAUUCACUGAGUUGUCAUCCCUAGUAUUUAUGCAUCCUUUGUCAUGUGUAAAUCUCUCAAACAUUUUAGAAAAGUAACGUGCAGUGAAAAAAGAAUAGUUCUAAUGUAAUGUAACCCUUGCAGACGAUGCAGCUGAGAAAGAAGGUCAUCAAAGCUCCCAAAGGGCAACAUAGAUUUGGAAGACUUUUAUACAUUAGGCCGAU
Molecule: long non-coding RNA, 506 nt
Filed under: Mytilus galloprovincialis (Mediterranean mussel)
Lineage: Eukaryota; Metazoa; Mollusca; Bivalvia; Mytilida; Mytilidae
Source: RNAcentral